This 789-nucleotide ribosomal RNA is filed under the name uncultured bacterium. RNAcentral's name for it is "bacterial SSU rRNA". It matches the Rfam family "Bacterial small subunit ribosomal RNA", at positions 8 to 796 of the family's 1533-position model. The record is from RNAcentral.
AGAGUUUGAUCCUGGCUCAGGACGAACGCUGGCGGCGUGCUUAACACAUGCAAGUCGAACGGAAAGGCCCUGCUUGCAGGGUGCUCGAGUGGCGAACGGGUGAGUAACACGUGGGUGAUCUGCCCUGCACUUCGGGGAUAAGCUUGGGAAACUGGGUCUAAUACCGGAUAGGACUCCGAGAUGCAUGUCUUGGGGUGGAAAGCGUUUAGUGGUGUGGGAUGGGCCCGCGGCCUAUCAGCUUGUUGGUGGGGUGAUGGCCUACCAAGGCGACGACGGGUAGCCGGCCUGAGAGGGUGUCCGGCCACACUGGGACUGAGAUACGGCCCAGACUCCUACGGGAGGCAGCAGUGGGGAAUAUUGCACAAUGGGCGCAAGCCUGAUGCAGCGACGCCGCGUGGGGGAUGACGGCCUUCGGGUUGUAAACCUCUUUCACCAUCGACGAAGGCCCGCCUUUGGGUGGGUUGACGGUAGGUGGAGAAGAAGCACCGGCCAACUACGUGCCAGCAGCCGCGGUAAUACGUAGGGUGCGAGCGUUGUCCGGAAUUACUGGGCGUAAAGAGCUCGUAGGUGGUUUGUCGCGUUGUUCGUGAAAUUCCCUGGCUUAACUGGGGGCGUGCGGGCGAUACGGGCAGACUGGAGUACUGCAGGGGAGACUGGAAUUCCUGGUGUAGCGGUGGAAUGCGCAGAUAUCAGGAGGAACACCGGUGGCGAAGGCGGGUCUCUGGGCAGUAACUGACGCUGAGGAGCGAAAGCGUGGGGAGCGAACAGGAUUAGAUACCCCCGUAGUCC